This 189-nucleotide ribosomal RNA is filed under the name Mycoblastus sanguinarioides. Its description in RNAcentral is "partial 18S ribosomal RNA". Lineage: Eukaryota; Fungi; Ascomycota; Lecanoromycetes; Lecanorales; Mycoblastaceae. The record is from RNAcentral.
GGGUGGGCGACACUCGUCUGUUGCUGGAAAUAAACCUCCUCAGGGAGUCAAUCAGCUGCUGUGCGCUCCCCAAGCGCAUAGCCCACAGAUCAAACACGAGUGGCUGUCUCCGAGUCGGUUAAGAUAUGACCGUAGCGGCUCCGCAAGGAGAUCGGUAUACUAGUUCCGUAGGUGAACCUGCGGAAGGAU